CCUACGGGUGGCAGCAGUGGGGGAUAUUGCACAAUGGGGGGAACCCUGAUGCAGCGACGCCGCGUGGGUGAAGAAGCGCCUCGGCGCGUAAAGCCCUGUCAGCAGUGAAGAAAAUGACGGUACCUGAAGAAGAAGCCCCGGCUAACUACGUGCCAGCAGCCGCGGUAAUACGUAGGGGGCAAGCGUUAUCCGGAUUUACUGGGGGUAAAGGGCGUGUAGGCGGGAAAGCAAGUCAGAUGUGAAAACCAUGGGCUUAACCUUUGGCCCGCCGUUGAAACUGUUGUUCUUGAGUGGGCGAGAGGUAGGCGGAAUGCGUGGUGUAGCGGUGAAAUGCAUAGAUAUCACGCAGAACUCCGAUUGCGAAGGCAGUAUACCGGAGCCCAACUGACGCUGAAGCGCGAAAGCGUGGGUAUCGAACAGGAUUAGAUACCCGAGUAGUC
Molecule: ribosomal RNA, 440 nt
Filed under: uncultured bacterium
Lineage: Bacteria
Description: partial 16S ribosomal RNA
Rfam family: Bacterial small subunit ribosomal RNA
Source: RNAcentral